This 489-nucleotide ribosomal RNA is filed under the name uncultured bacterium. RNAcentral describes it as "partial 16S ribosomal RNA". It matches the Rfam family "Bacterial small subunit ribosomal RNA", at positions 30 to 507 of the family's 1533-position model. The record is from RNAcentral.
AUUGAACGCUGGCGGCAUGCCUUACACAUGCAAGUCGAACGGCAGCAUGAUCUAGCUUGCUAGAUUGAUGGCGAGUGGCGAACGGGUGAGUAAUACAUCGGAACGUGCCCUGUAGUGGGGAUAACUAGUCGAAAGAUUAGCUAAUACCGCAUACGACCUGAGGGUGAAAGUGGGGGACCGCAAGGCCUCAUGCUAUAGGAGCGGCCGAUGUCUGAUUAGCUAGUUGGUGAGGUAAAGGCUCACCAAGGCGACGAUCAGUAGCUGGUCUGAGAGGACGAUCAGCCACACUGGGACUGAGACACGGCCCAGACUCCUACGGGAGGCAGCAGUGGGGAAUUUUGGACAAUGGGCGAAAGCCUGAUCCAGCAAUGCCGCGUGUGUGAAGAAGGCCUUCGGGUUGUAAAGCACUUUUGUCCGGAAAGAAAUGGCUCUGGUUAAUACCUGGGGUCGAUGACGGUACCGGAAGAAUAAGGACCGGCUAACUACGUG